Molecule: ribosomal RNA, 483 nt
Filed under: uncultured bacterium
Lineage: Bacteria
Description: bacterial SSU rRNA
Rfam family: Bacterial small subunit ribosomal RNA
Source: RNAcentral
AUGAAACACUCCUACGGGAGGCAGCAGUGGGGAAUUUUGGACAAUGGGGGCAACCCUGAUCCAGCAAUGCCGCGUGAUUGAAGAAGGCCUUCGGGUUGUAAAGCUCUUUUGUCAGGGAAGAAAACGCAUGGGUUAAUACCCUGUGUGGAUGACGGUACCGGAAUAAGAAGCACCGGCUAACUACGUGCCAGCAGCCGCGGUAAUACGUAGGGUGCGAGCGUUAAUCGGAAUUACUGGGCGUAAAGCGUGCGCAGGCGGUUUUGUAAGACAGGCGUGAAAUCCCCGGGCUUAACCUGGGAACUGCGUUUGUGACUGCAAGGCUAGAGUACGGCAGAGGGGGGUGGAAUUCCACGUGUAGCAGUGAAAUGCGUAGAGAUGUGGAGGAACACCAAUGGCGAAGGCAGCCCCCUGGGUCGAUACUGACGCUCAUGCACGAAAGCGUGGGUAGCAAACAGGAUUAGAAACCCCAGUAGUCCGAAGUUC